UACAGAGGGGGCAAGCGUUAUUCGGAAUUAUUGGGCGUAAAGGGCGCGUAGGCGGCUUGGCAAGUGGAUGGUGAAGUCCCUCGGCUUAACCGAGGAACUGCCGUCCAAACUGCUUAGCUUGAGACCGGGAGAGGUGAGUGGAAUUCCCAGUGUAGCGGUGAAAUGCGUAGAUAUUGGGAGGAACACCAGUGGCGAAGGCGGCUCACUGGACCGGUACUGACGCUGAGGCGCGAAAGCGUAGGGAGCAAACGGG
RNAcentral lists this ribosomal RNA (253 nucleotides) under uncultured bacterium. RNAcentral describes it as "partial 16S ribosomal RNA". It matches the Rfam family "Bacterial small subunit ribosomal RNA", at positions 524 to 776 of the family's 1533-position model. The record is from RNAcentral.